GAUGAACGCUGGCGGCGUGCCUAAUACAUGCAAGUCGAGCGAACAGAUGAGGAGCUUGCUCCUCUGACGUUAGCGGCGGACGGGUGAGUAACACGUGGAUAACCUACCUAUAAGACUGGGAUAACUUCGGGAAACCGGAGCUAAUACCGGAUAAUAUAUUGAACCGCAUGGUUCAAUAGUGAAAGACGGUUUUGCUGUCACUUAUAGAUGGAUCCGCGCCGCAUUAGCUAGUUGGUAAGGUAACGGCUUACCAAGGCAACGAUGCGUAGCCGACCUGAGAGGGUGAUCGGCCACACUGGAACUGAGACACGGUCCAGACUCCUACGGGAGGCAGCAGUAGGGAAUUUUCCGCAAUGGGCGAAAGCCUGACGGAGCAACGCCGCGUGAGUGAUGAAGGUCUUCGGAUCGUAAAACUCUGUUAUUAGGGAAGAACAAAUGUGUAAGUAACUAUGCACGUCUUGACGGUACCUAAUCAGAAAGCCACGGCUAACUACGU
This 496-nucleotide ribosomal RNA is filed under the name uncultured bacterium. RNAcentral describes it as "partial 16S ribosomal RNA". It matches the Rfam family "Bacterial small subunit ribosomal RNA", at positions 28 to 506 of the family's 1533-position model. The record is from RNAcentral.